GUUUUCCUUUCAGGAGCACAUAUCCUAAAACUGGGAUGACACAAGAAGACUAGCAUGGCCCCAUGUGCAAGGAUGAUAUGCAAAUUCUUGAAGCUUUUCAUAUUUUU
RNAcentral lists this small nuclear RNA (107 nucleotides) under Dasypus novemcinctus (nine-banded armadillo). Lineage: Eukaryota; Metazoa; Chordata; Mammalia; Cingulata; Dasypodidae. The record is from RNAcentral.